Long non-coding RNA from Oncorhynchus keta (chum salmon), 2100 nucleotides. RefSeq lists it as uncharacterized. Lineage: Eukaryota; Metazoa; Chordata; Actinopteri; Salmoniformes; Salmonidae. The record is from RefSeq and is a predicted model, not a curated record. The transcript has 7 exons.
CUGCGGGGUAGGUGUCUCUCUGUCUGUGGGGUAGGUGUCUCUGUCUGUGGGGUAGGUGUCUCUGUCUGUGGGGUAGGUGUCUCUGUCUGUGGGGUAGGUGUCUCUGUCUGUGGGGUAGGUGUCUCUGUCUGUGGGGUAGGUGUCUCUGUCUGUGGGGUAGGUGUCUCUGUCUGUGGGGUAGGUGUCUCUGUCUGUGGGGUAGGUGUCUCUGUCUGUGGGGUAGGUGUCUCUGUCUGUGGGGUAGGUGUCUCUGUCUGUGGGGUAGGUGUCUCUGUCUGUGGGGUAGGUGUCUCUGUCUGUGGGGUAGGUGUCUCUGUCUGUGGGGUAGGUGUCUCUGUCUGUGGGGUAGGUGUCUCUGUCUGUGGGGUAGGUGUCUCUGUCUGUGGGGUAGGUGUCUCUGUCUGUGGGGUAGGUGUCUCUGUCUGUGGGGUAGGUGUCUCUGUCUGUGGGGUAGGUGUCUCUGUCUGUGGGGUAGGUGUCUCUGUCUGUGGGGUAGGUGUCUCUGUCUGUGGGGUAGGUGUCUCUCUGUCUGUGGGGUAGGUGUCUCUCUGUCUGUGGGGUAGGUGUCUCUGUCUGUGGGGUAGGUGUCUCUGUCUGUGGGGUAGGUCUCUCUGUCUGUGGGGUAGGUCUCUCUGUCUGUGGGGUAGGUGUCUCUCUGUCUGUGGGGUAGGUGUCUCUGUCUGCGGGGUAGGUGUCUCUGUCUGUGGGGUAGGUGUCUCUGUCUGUGGGGUAGGUGUCUCUGUCUGUGGGGUAGGUGUCUCUGUCUGUGGGGUAGGUGUCUCUGUCUGUGGGGUAGGUGUCUCUGUCUGUGGGGUAGGUGUCUCUGUCUGUGGGGUAGGUGUCUCUGUCUGCGGGGUAGGUGUCUCUGUCUGCGGGGUAGGUGUCUCUGUCUGCGGGGUAGGUCUCUCUGUCUGCGGGGUAGGUCUCUCUGUCUGCGGGGUAGGUCUCUCUGUCUGUGGGGUAGGUGUCUCUGUCUGUGGGGUAGGUGUCUCUGUCUGUGGGGUAGGUCUCUCUGUCUGUGGGGUAGGUGUCUCUGUCUGUGGGGUAGGUGUCUCUGUCUGUGGGGUAGGUCUCUCUGUCUGUGGGGUAGGUGUCUCUGUCUGUGGGGUAGGUGUCUCUGUCUGUGGGGUAGGUGUCUCUGUCUGUGGGGUAGGUGUCUCUGUCUGUGGGGUAGGUGUCUCUGUCUGUGGGGUAGGUGUCUCUCUGUCUGUGGGGUAGGUGUCUCUGUCUGCGGGGUAGGUGUCUCUGUCUGCGGGGUAGGUGUCUCUGUCUGUGGGGUAGGUGUCUCUGUCUGUGGGGUAGGUGUCUCUGUCUGUGGGGUAGGUGUCUCUGUCUGUGGGGUAGGUGUCUCUGUCUGUGGGGUAGGUGUCUCUGUCUGUGGGGUAGGUGUCUCUGUCUGUGGGGUAGGUGUCUCUGUCUGUGGGGUAGGUGUCUCUGUCUGUGGGGUAGGUCUCUCUGUCUGUGGGGUAGGUGUCUCUCUGUCUGUGGGGUAGGUGUCUCUGUCUGUGGGGUAGGUGUCUGUCUGUGGGGUAGGUGUCUCUGUCUGCGGGGUAGGUGUCUCUGUCUGUGGGGUAGGUGUCUCUGUCUGCGGGGUAGGUCUCUCUGUCUGCGGGGUAGGUGCGUUUUGUGCGUGAGCAUGUUGAUUUUGUCCAUCCACACCAGAUGGGAUCAAGACACGCAGGCUGAAAUAUCAAAACGAACUCUGAACAAACUAUAUUAAUUUGGGGACAGGAUCUUUGUAGAACUUUGAGUCACACAAAAUCAUGUGAUCUCUACUCUGACAUUUACAUCUAAUCCACAGAUAACAAGGGGAAGCCCUAGUAAAUUCCUAAAACAUCUUCUUCAGUUGUCGUCGUCUUCUGUGGAUUUUAUCUGGCGGUUGGCAACCAACUUUAAAGGUGCAUUAACCACCACCAACUGGACUGGAGUGUGUGGACUUCAGUUCAUCUUUCAAACACCCACGUGGGUAUAUGCUCCUAACAACCAAUGAGAUUGGAGAGGCGGGACUUGCGGCGCGUCUAAGAGAACCAUGUUCUAUUUCAGUGGCUGUGCAGACGCUCAGUCUGGAUUAAAUUAUUAACAUGUCUGUGUACAUUUCAU